This 451-nucleotide long non-coding RNA is filed under the name Mytilus galloprovincialis (Mediterranean mussel). The record is from RNAcentral. Lineage: Eukaryota; Metazoa; Mollusca; Bivalvia; Mytilida; Mytilidae.
UGCAGAUUUCUUUGGCAUCAGCAAUAUUUAUUGAUGAGGAAUAUAGGAAAAGAAUUAUCUUUUCCGACUGAGAUGUUUUUGCUAGACGACAAAAUAUAUCCGAACAAAUAUCCAGUAUUGACACCUAAUUACCUAAGACAAAUUCCAGAAUAUGCAAAGGAAGUGUAGAAAAUUAAAUGGACAUAUUACACACUAUAGAGUAGAGGUUGACCACGCCAUUGGAGAAUAAAAAAACACACAAAAUUAUGGGGACUUUGUGUGGCGGUUCACAUUUGUUGUAACAAUAAGUUUCUGCAUGUGAAGACUUAUUUACAUGAUAAAAAGAAUAUAAUUUCACUUUACUAUGUAUCUCAUUUGUUUUUUUUUUAAAUUUUUAUUUUGAGAGGACCCCUUGUUUUACGUCAACUGUAAUCGUAAGUCUUGCAAUAAUCCUAGGUAUAGACCUAGUUUC